Molecule: ribosomal RNA, 499 nt
Filed under: uncultured bacterium
Lineage: Bacteria
Description: bacterial SSU rRNA
Rfam family: Bacterial small subunit ribosomal RNA
Source: RNAcentral
AACGAACGCUGGCGGCGUGCCUAAAACAUGCAAGUCGCACGAGAAAGUAUUUAUACGAGUAAAGUGGCGCACGGGUGAGUAACACGUGGAUAACAUACCUUCGAGACUGGUAUAACAGUUGGAAACGACUGAUAAUCCCAGAUAAAGUUUAGAAUACAUUGGGGUAUUUUGAAUGAAAGCGGGCCUUCGGGUGUCGGCUUGAAGAGUGGUCUGCGUCCCAUUAGCUAGUUGGUGAGGUAAAGGCUCAUCCAAGGCAUUGAUGGGUAGCUGGUCUGAGAGGACGAUCAGCCACACUGGGACUGAAACACGGCCCAGACUCCUACGGGAGGCAGCAGUUAGGAAUAUUGCGCAAUGGAGGGAACUCUGACGCAGCGACGCCGCGUGAGCGAAGAAGGCCUUAGGGUUGUAAAGCUCUGUUGAAAGGGAAGAAUGCUGACGGAUGAAUAAUUUGGUUAGUUGACGGUACCUUUUAAGAAAGCACCGGCUAACUCUGUGCCAG